CUCCCCUAUCUUGUGCACCCUGCUGUCUCUAAUUAGAGGAUGGAUUUGAUCCUUAGGGGCAAAAUACCACCAAGAAGCUGUAUACCUGCCCUCUGCUUGGAGGUUGGAGGACCCUGAGCAGGUUAGGUCUGGGUCCUUGGUGGGGCCCUGCACCUGAGUACCUGGGACAGGGGUCAUGCUAAGAGCCCACUGGAGGUCCCAGCAGGAAGACCAGGGCACUUGCAGACCCACCUGUCCCACCCUGGGUAUCCCCAUGUGUUGGGAAGUCAGCAGAGGUGACAUGUCUGCUCUAAGCAGGGAGGAGAUGUUCCACGGCACCCAGAAGCUCAGGGUUGCUUCUCCUCUUCCCUGAGAGUCCAUUUAAUGAGCCUGGUGCCACAGAGAAGCUUCUUCCCCAGGAGCUGUGAAGGUCUGCCUGCCAUGGUCCCAAGCUGGUCCUCCAAGGCUUCAUGGGAAGAGCACUGGGCCGGGGAUCACAGAACCAUCCUUUGCCUUGUUCCCAGCCUCUGCUUCUCUGCUGAUGAGACCCUGGGUGGCCACAGGCUGCUCUGAGCCUUGGUUCAGGCUGCUCGCUGCAUCCUGGACCCCAGGUUCCCUGCCUGCCUUGAGGACCUCACGAUGGAAGGAGCAACUGUCAGUGCUGCUUGGUGACAUGGCUGGGGUGUCUCAGCACAGCUGUCAGGAAAAGAAGCGGCUCAGGCUCCUGCAUGUUAGAGCUCACCACCAAAGCCACCAGGUCCCGAGAGUCCCUUUGAGACAGGUUUCUUGGUCUCCUUCCCCAAGCCCACUGUUACGGUGGAGGAGCUUCUCAUUCUUCUGCUCUGCCUCAGACCCACGGUCCCUGCCGUGGAGAUCCUUCUAGAACACAAAGCAGAUCACAUUACCUCCGUGCUUAAGGAUCCUAGAGGCCACUUCAGAACCUCCAGGCGGAAGUCUCAACUCGGCAAGUGCCAGGUACAGGGUCAGUGAUGGAAUUAAUGCUGCUCGAGUAGGCAGACCUCAGAGGUUGGGGGGUACAGAAUGGCAAUGGCUGUCCUGGCUGGCAGGACUUCUGAGGAAUAUGAUGGCUUAAAGCUACCACGUUUCCCCAAAGUCUCAUGUGUUUGAAAGGUGAUGCAUCACUUAUCCAUUGAUGAGUUCAUAGCUGGAUGCGCCUUUCGCAGGCGGAGCCUGGUUGGAGGUGGGUCACUGGGGUGCCACCUGGAAGGCUGCAUGCUCAUCUCUGGCUCCUCCCUUCUCUCUCUGCUUCCUGGCUGCUAUGAGUCUACCAUCUUUUCUCCUCCAUGCCCUCCCACCAUGAGGUUUUGCCUUGGAGCCAGCUGACCAUGGACUGAACUCACUGACAAAC
Molecule: long non-coding RNA, 1348 nt
Filed under: Fukomys damarensis (Damara mole-rat)
Lineage: Eukaryota; Metazoa; Chordata; Mammalia; Rodentia; Bathyergidae
Description: lncRNA (ENSFDAG00000023560.1)
Source: RNAcentral